Oncorhynchus keta (chum salmon) is the source of this 328-nucleotide long non-coding RNA. RefSeq lists it as uncharacterized. The record is from RefSeq and is a predicted model, not a curated record. The transcript has 2 exons. Lineage: Eukaryota; Metazoa; Chordata; Actinopteri; Salmoniformes; Salmonidae.
CACGUUCUGACCUUUAUUUUCUGUGUUUUUGUAUUUAGUUAGUAUGGUCAGGGCGUGAGUUGGGUGGGCAGUCUAUGUUUGUUUGUCUAGGUUUUGGGAAUUUCUAUGUUUCGGCCUAGUAUGGUUCUCAAUCAGAGGCAGGUGUCAUUAGUUGUCUCUGAUUGAGAAUCAUACUUAGGUGGCCUGGGUUUCACUGUGUGUUUGUGGGUGAUUGUUUCCUGUCUCUGUGUGUGCACCAGAUAGGACUGUUUUUUGAGUUUUCACAUUUCUUGUUUUGUUAGUUUGUUCAUGUGUACCUUAUAGCAUUAAAAAGUACCAUGGAAAAUUA